This is a non-coding RNA of Triticum aestivum (bread wheat), 115 nucleotides long. The record is from Rfam. Lineage: Eukaryota; Viridiplantae; Streptophyta; Magnoliopsida; Poales; Poaceae.
CUUGUACUCCCUCCGUCCGAAAAUACUUGUCAUUGAAAUGGAUGUAUCUAGAUGUAUUUUAGUUCUAGACACAUCCAUUUUGAUGACAAGUAAUUCCGGACGGAGGGAUUACUUG